Non-coding RNA from Aedes aegypti (yellow fever mosquito), 117 nucleotides. The record is from Rfam. Lineage: Eukaryota; Metazoa; Arthropoda; Insecta; Diptera; Culicidae.
UGUCCAGCAACUCCUAUCCCUACUUCCUCGUGGUACUGGCCGGGGUACGAGUAACCUUGGGGAAGAUCGGGUAACCAACCCCCGGUGGGAACUUUGGUCGUAUGCUGACAGGGAAGG